GAUGGAAAAGAAAAUAAAUAAUAAAAAAAGAGUAGAAGGGCAAAACGGCAGAUGAUAGAGAGUUGGAGAAGCAGAGGGAGACAAAAUAAGAAAAUGAAGGGACUUUUCAAAAAAAGUUUAUACUCCAAAUGCAAGAGAGAUGUAGAGAGGGACUUAACAUGUAAAAAUUGCAAAGAAAGAAAGCUGGGGCAAGUUCUCUUACAUCAACCACCUAAGAGUCAUGGCAUAAGAAGCAACCACCUCUCCUCUUCGUCUCUGCCACCUGCUCAGCGGCUGUGAAGCAGCAACAAUGUGUGAGCGUCUCUCCAUCCACGUUGGCCGGGCUGGUGUCCAGACUGGUAAUGCCUGCUGGGACCACAACUGCCUGGAACUUGGCAUCCAACCCAAUGGCCAGAUGCCAAGUGAUAAGACCACUGGGGGAAGAGAUGACUCUUUCAACACCUUCUUUAGUGAGACAAGCACUGGCAAGCGUGUGCCCAGGGCAGUAUUUGUAGACCUAGAGCCCACAGUCAUUAAUGAAAUUCACAUUGGCACCUACUGUCAGCUCUUCUCCCCUGAGCAGCUCAUUAUAGGCAAGUAAGAUGCUGCCAAUAACUAUACCUGAGGGCACUAUAACAUUGGCAAGGAAAUCACUGACCUAGUCUUGGACCAAAUUCAUAAACUGGCCAAUCAGUGCACAGCUCUUCAGGGCUUCUUGAUUUUCCACAGGGCUUUGGUUGGGGAACUGGUUCUGGGUUGACCUCUUGCUGAUGGAGCUCCAAUCUGUUGACUAUGGUGAGCAGUACAAGCUGGAGUGGUCCAUUUACCCAGCCCCCUAGGUUUCCACAGCGGUAUUUGAGCCCUACAACUCCAUCCUCACCACCCACACCACCAUGGAGCACUCUGAUUGUGCCUUCAUGGUAGACAAUGAGGCCAUCUGUGAGAGCUGUCAUAGAACCCUCGAUACUGAGCGCCCAACCUAUACUAACCUGAAUAGGUUGAUAGGUCAACUUGUGUCCUCUGUCAUUGCUUCCCUCAGAUUGAUGGACCUAAAUGUUGAUCUGACAGAAUUCUAGACCAACCUGGUGACCUAUCCCUGCUUCUGCCUCCUUCUAGCCACAUAUGCCCCUGUGAUCUCUGCUGAGAAAAGCCUACCGUGAACAGUUUUCUGUAGCAGAGAUCGUCCAUGCUUGCUUUGAGCCAGCCAACCAGAUGGUGAAAUGUGACCCUCGCCACGGUAAAUACAUGGCUUGCUGCCUGUUGUGCCACAGUGAUGUGGUUCCCAAAGAUGUCAAUGCUGCCAUUGCCACCGUCAAGACCAAGCAUACCAUCCAGUUUGUGCAUUGGUGUCCCACUGGCUUCAAGGUUGACCUUAAUUACCAGCCUCCCAUUGUGGUACCUGGUGGAAACCUGGCCAAGGCACUGUGUGCACUGAGAGCUGUGUGCAUGCUGAGCAACACCACAGCCAUUGCUGAGGCCUGGGCUCGCCUGGACCACAAGUUUGACCUGACGUGUGCCAAGCGUGCCUUUCUUCACUAGUAUAUAGGUGAGGGAAUGGAGGAAGGAGAGUAGUCUGAGGCCCGUGAGGACCUGGCUGCCCUUGAGAAGGAUUAUGAGGAGGUUGGUGUGGAUUCUGUUGAAGGAGAGGGUGAGGAAGAAGGAGAAUACUAGAGUUAAAAUGUCACAAAGGCGCUGCUUUUCCUGGGAAGCGAAUUAUGUUUUAAAGAUUGAAAAGUUGUGAUCUGAUCAGUUAAUUUGUUUGUAGCAGUGUACGCUCUCAUAUGCAGUUACUGACCUAUUCUUUAAAACAUGCAUGCUCUGUUACAGACCCACGCUGUCCAUUUCUCUGAUGGGUUUUGAAUAAAGUAUUCCCUGUCUUAA
Molecule: non-coding RNA, 1860 nt
Organism: Microcebus murinus (gray mouse lemur)
Lineage: Eukaryota; Metazoa; Chordata; Mammalia; Primates; Cheirogaleidae
Source: RefSeq, a predicted model, not a curated record